AGAGUUUGAUCCUGGCUCAGGAUGAACGCUGGCGGUAUGCUUAACACAUGCAAGUCGAACGAACCCUUCGGGGUUAGUGGCGGACGGGUGAGUAACGCGUGAGGAUCUGCCCUUAGGAGGGGAACAACAGUUGGAAACGACUGCUAAUGCCCCAUAUGCCGAGAGGUGAAACAGUUAAUUCUGCCUAGGGAUGAACUCGCGUCUGAUUAGCUAGUUGGUUGGGUAAUGGCCGACCAAGGCGACGAUCAGUAGCUGGUCUAAGAGGAUGAUCAGCCACACUGGGACUGAGACACGGCCCAGACUCCUACGGGAGGCAGCAGUGGGGAAUUUUCCGCAAUGGGCGAAAGCCUGACGGAGCAAUACCGCGUGAGGGAGGAAGGCCUUAGGGUUGUAAACCUCUUUUCUCUGGGAAGAAGAUCUGACGGUACCAGAGGAAUAAGCCUCGGCUAACACCGUGCCAGCAGCCGCGGUAAGACGGAGGAGGCAAGCGUUAUCCGGAAUUAUUGGGCGUAAAGCGUCCGUAGGCGGUUAAUUAAGUCUGUUGUUAAAGCCCACAGCUCAACUGUGGAUCGGCAAUGGAAACUGGUUGACUAGAGUGUGGUAGGGGUAGAGGGAAUUCCCGGUGUAGCGGUGAAAUGCGUAGAUAUCGGGAAGAACACCAGCGGCGAAGGCGCUCUACUGGGCCACAACUGACGCUGAUGGACGAAAGCUAGGGGAGCGAGAGGGAUUAGAUACCCCUGUAGUCCUAGCUGUAAACGAUGGAUACUAGGUGUUGGACGUAUCGACCCGUGCAGUACCGUAGCUAACGCGUUAAGUAUCCCGCCUGGGGAGUACGCACGCAAGUGUGAAACUCAAAGGAAUUGACGGGGGCCCGCACAAGCGGUGGAGGAUGUGGUUUAAUUCGAUGCAACGCGAAGAACCUUACCAAGGCUUGACAUCCUGCGAAUCUUUCAGAGAUGAGAGAGUGCCUUCGGGAGCGCAGAGACAGGUGGUGCAUGGCUGUCGUCAGCUCGUGUCGUGAGAUGUUGGGUUAAGUCCCGCAACGAGCGCAACCCUCGUCCUUAGUUGCCAUCAUUAAGUUGGGCACUCUGGGGAGACUGCCGGGGACAACUCGGAGGAAGGUGGGGACGACGUCAAGUCAUCAUGCCCCUUACGUCUUGGGCUACACACGUCCUACAAUGCUACAGACAGAGGGCAGCAAGCGCGCGAGUGCAAGCAAAUCCCAUAAACUGUGGCUCAGUUCAGAUUGCAGGCUGCAACUCGCCUGCAUGAAGGCGGAAUCGCUAGUAAUCGCAGGUCAGCAUACUGCGGUGAAUACGUUCCCGGGCCUUGUACACACCGCCCGUCACACCAUGGGAGUUGGCCACGCCCGAAGUCGUUACUCUAACCGUUCGCGGAGGAGGGCGCCGAAGGCAGGGCUGAUGACUGGGGUGAAGUCGAAACAAGGUA
RNAcentral lists this ribosomal RNA (1449 nucleotides) under metagenome. Its description in RNAcentral is "bacterial SSU rRNA". It matches the Rfam family "Bacterial small subunit ribosomal RNA". The record is from RNAcentral.